ACAAGAUAGUUAAUUGUUGAAUUUUUUUUUUCAUUAACCUGCAUUAAUACGAAACUAAAAGUUAAUUUCCUGACUUUACAUAAAAAAUUGUGUCCGACACGAUUUGAGAACUUUGAGAACUUGAGCUGUUGGAGACCAAAAAAAUUAUGUAUUGAAACAUUCUUGACUGUGAUUUGGAUUACACAUUUUCAUGCCCUGAUUUUAGAAUGUAAGAUGAAAUGGUGUAAACGGAUAAUGACAUUUCCAAACAGGAGAAAAAGUGUUAUUGUUAUUGGUGUGAUUUUUGUGUCGAUGGGACUUAUUUGUUUACAUCUUUUAGGAGAAGUUUACAAACUUGAAAAUGCAAGAGAACGAUUAGGUAAAUAUUAUAUAACAGUCUUAAACUGUAAAUCACAUGUUUAAUAACAUAAUAGUAUAUAUAUAUUGUUACCAAAAACUGGCAAGGUAUGAAAUUAUGCUUUUAGU
RNAcentral lists this long non-coding RNA (465 nucleotides) under Mytilus galloprovincialis (Mediterranean mussel). Lineage: Eukaryota; Metazoa; Mollusca; Bivalvia; Mytilida; Mytilidae. The record is from RNAcentral.